Molecule: ribosomal RNA, 570 nt
Filed under: Ompok pabda (Pabdah catfish)
Lineage: Eukaryota; Metazoa; Chordata; Actinopteri; Siluriformes; Siluridae
Description: partial 16S ribosomal RNA
Rfam family: Bacterial large subunit ribosomal RNA
Source: RNAcentral
CGCCUCCUGCAAAAAUCAAUGUAUAGGAGGUCUUGCCUGCCCAGUGACAAGUUAAACGGCCGCGGUAUUUUGACCGUGCGAAGGUAGCGCAAUCACUUGUCUUUUAAAUGAAGACCUGUAUGAAUGGCGAAACGAGGGCUUAACUGUCUCCCCUUUCCAGUCAAUGAAAUUGAUCUGCCCGUGCAGAAGCGGACAUAUAAAUACAAGACGAGAAGACCCUUUGGAGCUUAAGAUAAUAGAUCAACUAUGUCAAGAGCCUAAUAACCAGGCCAAACUAAAUAAUAACUGAUCCCUAUCUUCAGUUGGGGCGACUACGGGAGAAAAUAAAGCUCCCACGAGGACUGGGGCAUUAAACCUAAAACCAAGAAAGGCACUUCUAAGUCACAGAAUAUCUGACCUUUUAAGAUCCGGCCACCCGCCGACCAACGGACCAAGUUACCCUAGGGAUAACAGCGCAAUCCCCUUUCAGAGUCCAUAUCGACAAGGGGGUUUACGACCUCGAUGUUGGAUCAGGACAUCCUAAUGGUGCAGCCGCUAUUAAGGGUUCGUUUGUUCAACGAUUAAAGUCCU